Long non-coding RNA from Stegodyphus dumicola, 577 nucleotides. NCBI's taxonomy places the organism in Eukaryota, Metazoa, Arthropoda, Arachnida, Araneae, Eresidae. The record is from RefSeq and is a predicted model, not a curated record.
GUUUUAAUGCCUUUUUCUCCCUUUCGCGGUGCAAAGCAAAAGUAAAAACCUCGGAGAAUAGAAGAGUUAUUUGCAGAAUGCUAGACUGUGGCACAUAACACUUAAAUACCGGAAAUGAAAGUAACCUUCGUACAACGCAGGCGUUAGAGUCCUACAGACGGAAGUGUUUGCAUGAAAUCAUAUUAUAAGGAACUGAGGGUGAUGUACAGAAUUUCGCAUUACAUUCUCUCUCUCGUUUUUUUAAACAACUGAAGAUUGGUUACUUUUUGAUGGAAGUCCCGAAAUGACGUUUUAAUAUGUACAAUCAUUUAGAUGAUAGUUUUUUAAUUAUAUUUUGCUUCAUGAAGUUUCUAUGUAUUUCAAAAGAAUCUGACGAAGGCCAGUCUUCUGCAAGAAAUAUACUAUUUUAGAGAACGGUUAUUAACAGCGGCGUAGCAAGAACUUCUGCCAUCGAAGGGAUCUGUUUGCUGUUGUUUUUCUGCCAGCAAAAUCGUCAACGACGCUCUAAAAAUUUUCUCUAAUACUCCAGUUGCUUUGGUUCUGCAAAUAGUACAGUUAAAAUUUCUUAAAAGUAAGA